This 155-nucleotide small nuclear RNA is filed under the name Dipodomys ordii (Ord's kangaroo rat). RNAcentral describes it as "U2 spliceosomal RNA". It matches the Rfam family "U2 spliceosomal RNA". From Rfam's summary of the family: U2 is a small nuclear RNA (snRNA) component of the spliceosome (involved in pre-mRNA splicing). Complementary binding between U2 snRNA (in an area lying towards the 5' end but 3' to hairpin I) and the branchpoint sequence (BPS) of the intron results the bulging out of an unpaired adenosine, on the BPS, which initiates a nucleophilic attack at the intronic 5' splice site, thus starting the first of two transesterification reactions that mediate splicing. Lineage: Eukaryota; Metazoa; Chordata; Mammalia; Rodentia; Heteromyidae. The record is from Rfam by way of RNAcentral.
AUCACUUCUGGGCCUUUCGAGCAGGAUCAAAGUGUCUUAUCUGUUCUUGUCAGUUUGAUAUCUGGUAUGUCCUGUAGUUUUUUGGAUCAAGGAGAUGGAAUAGUUUUCUCCAUCCACUUCAGUCAUAUUGUAGAACCUCACAGAAUGAUGCACAA